This 1668-nucleotide long non-coding RNA is filed under the name Taeniopygia guttata (zebra finch). RNAcentral's name for it is "lncRNA (ENSTGUG00000026159.1)". Lineage: Eukaryota; Metazoa; Chordata; Aves; Passeriformes; Estrildidae. The record is from RNAcentral.
CCCACAGCACCUGCUCCCGCAGCAGCCGCGGCCGCACCUGCCGGAAUUUGGGGAGGGGGCUCAGGGGGGGGUUGGGGAGGGGUCCUGGGGGUCAAGGGGGGCAGCGAUGGGGGUGGGGGAACAUUGGGGAGGGGUCUUGGGGGGUGGGGGGCAUUGGGAAGGGGUCUUGGGGGGUGGAGGGGCAUUGGGGAGGGGUCCCAGGGUGUGGCGGCGCAUUGGGGAGGGGUCCCAGAGGCUGAGGGGGUAUUGGGGAGGGGUCCCAGGGUGUGGGAGGGGCAUUGGGGAGGGGUCCUGGAGCAGGGAAGGUUCAUUGGGGAGGGGUCUCAGGGUGUGGGGGAGCAUUGGGGAGGGGUCUCAGGGUGUGGGGGGUAUUGGGGAGGGGUUUUGGGGGGUGGAGGGGUAUUGGGGAGGGGUCCCAGAGGGGGGAAGGGGCAUUGGGGAGGGGUCUUGGGGGUGGAGGGGUAUUGGGGAGGGGUCCCAGAGGCUGAGGGGACAUUGGGGAGGGGUCCCAGAGGGGGGAAGGGGCAUUGGGGAGGGGUCCCAGAGGCUGAGGAGGCAUUGGGGAGGGGUCUUGGGGGGUGGAGGGGUAUUGGGGAGGGGUCCCAGAGGCUGAGGGGGAUUGGGGAGGGGUCCCAGAGGGGGGAAGGGGCAUUGGGGAGGGGUCCCAGGGUGUGGGGGGGCAUUGGGGAGGGGUCCCAGAGGGGGGAAGGGGCAUUGGGGAGGGGUCCCAGGGUGUGGGGGAACAUUGGGGAGGGGUCCCAGGGUGUGGAGGGGUAUUGGGGAGGGGUCCCAGAGGGGGGAAGGGCAUUGGGGAGGGGUCCCGGGGUGUGGAGGGGUAUUGAGGAGGGGUCCCAGGGUGUGGAGGGGUAUUGGGGAGGGGUCCCAGGGUGUGGGGGGCAUUGGGGAGGGGUCCCAGGGUGUGGAGGGGUAUUGAGGAGGGGUCCCAGGGUGUGGGGGGGCAUUGGGGAGGGGUCCCAGAGGCUGAGGGGGCAUUGGGGAGGGGUCCCAGGGCGUGGAGGGGUAUUGGGGAGGGGUCCCAGGGUGUGGGGGGGCAUUGGGGAGGGGUCCCAGGGUGUGGGGGGGCAUUGGGGAGGGGUCCCAGAGGCUGAGGGGGCAUUGGGGAGGGGUCCCAGGGUGUGGGGGGGCAUUGGGGAGGGGUCCCAGAGGGUGGAGGGGUAUUGGGGAGGGGUCCCAGGGGGUGGGGGGGCAUUGGGGAGGGGUCCCAGGGUGUGGAGGGGCAUUGGGGAGGGGUCCCAGAGGCUGAGGGGGCAUUGGGGAGGGGUCCCGGGGGGUGGGGGGGUAUUGGGGAGGGGUCCCAGGGUGUGGAGGGGUAUUGGGGAGGGGUCCCAGGGUGUGGAGGGGUAUUGGGGAGGGGUCCCAGGGUGUGGAGGGGCAUUGGGGAGGGGUCCCAGGGGGUGGGGGGGUAUUGGGGAGGGGUCCCAGGGUGUGGAGGGGCAUUGGGGAGGGGUCCCAGGGUGUGGAGGGGCAUUGGGGAGGGGUCCCAGGGGGUGGGGGGGUAUUGGGGAGGGGUCCCAGGGUGUGGAGGGGCAUUGGGGAGGGGUCCCAGAGGGGGGAAGGGGCAUUGGGGAGGGGUCCCAGAGUGUGGGGGGGCAUUGGGGAGGGGUCCCAGGGUGUGGAAGGGUAUUGGGGAGGGGUCCCAGAGGCUGA